CGUUUCAGAUAGCCAUGCACGUCUAAGUACAAACUAAAUGAUGGUGAAACUGCAAAUGGCUCAUUACAACGGUUAUGAUGUACCCGGGAGUUCCGAUGGAUAUUUCCAGUAACACUAGAACUAAUACAUGUCCCUGCGUUUAUUAGUUUCGCACAGUCCGUCGCUGAGUCAUGGUAAACAGUUGAUCGACUCGACGUCCCGGAACAGUUUCCGCCCCAUCAGCUUCGAUGGUUGGGUAUUGGCCUACCAUUGCAACAACGGGUAACGAGGAAUUAGGGUUUGAUUUCGGAGAGGGAGCCUGAGAAACGGCUACCACAUCUACGGAUGGCAGCAGGCGCGCAAAUUACCCAAUGCAGACACUGUGAGGUAGUGACGAGAAAUAAUAAAGCGGGACUUCUGUUUCGCUAUUAUAAUGAGGAAUAACCAAAGGUCAUUCCGAUUAGCAACUGAUGGGAAAGUCUGGUGCCAGCAGCCGCGGUAAUACCAGCGUCAGUAGCAUA
This 500-nucleotide ribosomal RNA is filed under the name uncultured Myrionecta. RNAcentral's name for it is "SSU rRNA". It matches the Rfam family "Eukaryotic small subunit ribosomal RNA", at positions 35 to 601 of the family's 1831-position model. The record is from RNAcentral. Lineage: Eukaryota; Ciliophora; Litostomatea; Cyclotrichida; Mesodiniidae.